AGCGUAGACGGCGAAGCAAGUCUGAAGUGAAAAUCCGGGGCUCAACUCCGGAAGUGCUUUGGAAACUGUUUUGAUAGAGUGUCGGAGAGGUAAGUGGAAUUCCUGGUGUAGCGGUGAAAUGCGUAGAUAUCAGGAAGAACACCGGAGGCGAAGGCGGCUUACUGGACGAUAACUGACGUUGAGGCUCGAAAGCGUGGGAAGCAAACA
Molecule: ribosomal RNA, 207 nt
Filed under: uncultured bacterium
Lineage: Bacteria
Description: partial 16S ribosomal RNA
Rfam family: Bacterial small subunit ribosomal RNA
Source: RNAcentral